RNAcentral lists this ribosomal RNA (459 nucleotides) under uncultured bacterium. RNAcentral describes it as "partial 16S ribosomal RNA". It matches the Rfam family "Bacterial small subunit ribosomal RNA", at positions 338 to 795 of the family's 1533-position model. The record is from RNAcentral.
CCUACGGGUGGCAGCAGUGAGGAAUAUUGGUCAAUGGGCGCGAGCCUGAACCAGCCAAGUCGCGUGAGGGAAGACGGUCCUAUGGAUUGUAAACCUCUUUUGUCGGGGCGCAAAAGACGCCACGCGUGGCGUUCCGCGCGUACCCGAAGAAAAAGCAUCGGCGAACUCCGUGCCAGCAGCCGCGGUAAUACGGAGGAUGCGAGCGUUAUCCGGAGUUAGUGGGUUUAAAGGGUGAGCAGGCGGAAGAUCAAGUCAGCGGUAAAAUUGAGAGGCUCAACCUCUUCGAGCCGUUGAAACUGGUUUGCUUGAGUGAGUGAGAAGUAUGCGGAAUGCGUGGGGUAGCGGUGAAAUGCAUAGAUAUCACGCAGAACUCCGAUUGCGAAGGCAGCAUACCGGCGCUCAACUGACGCUCAUGCACGAAAGUGUGGGUAGCGAACAGGAUUAGAUACCCCUGUAGUC